Molecule: ribosomal RNA, 253 nt
Filed under: uncultured bacterium
Lineage: Bacteria
Description: partial 16S ribosomal RNA
Rfam family: Bacterial small subunit ribosomal RNA
Source: RNAcentral
UACGUAGGGUGCAAGCGUUAAUCGGAAUUACUGGGCGUAAAGCGUGCGCAGGCGGUUUUGUAAGUCUGACGUGAAAUCCCCGGGCUCAACCUGGGAAUUGCGUUGGAGACUGCAAGGCUGGAGUCUGGCAGAGGGGGGUAGAAUUCCACGCGUAGCAGUGAAAUGCGUAGAGAUGUGGAGGAAUACCGAUGGCGAAGGCAGCCCCCUGGGAUAACACUGACGCUCAUGCACGAAAGCGUGGGGAGCAAACAGG